GUGUCAGCAGCCGCGGUAAUACCGGCAGCACGAGUGAUGACCGCUAUUAUUGGGCCUAAAGCGUCCGUAGCUGGCCACGCAAGUUCGUCGGGAAAUCUGCGCGCUCAACGCGCAGGCGUCCGGUGGAAACUGCAUGGCUUGGGACCGGAAGACCAGAGGGGUACGUCCGGGGUAGGAGUGAAAUCCCGUAAUCCUGGACGGACCACCGGUGGCGAAAGCGCCUCUGGAAGACGGAUCCGACGGUGGGGGACGAAAGCUCGGGUCACGAACCGG
RNAcentral lists this ribosomal RNA (273 nucleotides) under uncultured prokaryote. RNAcentral's name for it is "partial 16S ribosomal RNA". It matches the Rfam family "Archaeal small subunit ribosomal RNA", at positions 455 to 727 of the family's 1478-position model. The record is from RNAcentral.